RNAcentral lists this ribosomal RNA (253 nucleotides) under uncultured bacterium. Its description in RNAcentral is "partial 16S ribosomal RNA". It matches the Rfam family "Bacterial small subunit ribosomal RNA", at positions 524 to 776 of the family's 1533-position model. The record is from RNAcentral.
UACGUAGGGUGCAAGCGUUAAUCGGAAUUACUGGGCGUAAAGCGCGCGCAGGCGGUUAUGUAAGUCAGAUGUGAAAUCCCCGGGCUCAACCUGGGAACUGCAUUUGUGACUGCAUCGCUGGAGUGCGGCAGAGGGGGAUGGAAUUCCGCGUGUAGCAGUGAAAUGCGUAGAUAUGCGGAGGAACACCGAUGGCGAAGGCAGCCCCCUGGGCCGACACUGACGCUCAGGCACGAAAGCGUGGGGAGCAAACAGG